GACGAACGCUGGCGGCGUGCCUAAUACAUGCAAGUAGAACUCAUUUGCGUACGGGCGCGUAACUCGUAGGUCACUGCCUGGUAGCGGGGGAUAACUAUUGGAAACCAUUGCUAAUACCGUCUACUACUAGAUGGCCCUGCGUUUUAUUAGCUAGUUGGUGGGGUAAUGGCUCACCAAGGCAACGAUACAUAGCCUACCUGAGAGGGGGAUCGCGCACAAUGGGACGGGGACACGGCCCAGACUCCUACGGGAGGCAGCAGUAGGGGAUCUUCGGCAAUGGACGGAAGUCUGACCGAGCAACGCCGCGUGAGUGAAGAAGGUUUUCGGAUCGUAAAGCUCUGUUGUAAGAGAAGCGGUAUCUUACCAGAAAGGGACGGCUAACUACGUGCCAGCAGCCGCGGUAAUAC
This 407-nucleotide ribosomal RNA is filed under the name uncultured bacterium. RNAcentral describes it as "partial 16S ribosomal RNA". It matches the Rfam family "Bacterial small subunit ribosomal RNA", at positions 28 to 526 of the family's 1533-position model. The record is from RNAcentral.